GACAGAGGAUGCAAACGUUGCUCGGAUUUACUGGGCGUAAAGCGCGCGCAGGCGGUUCCGUAAGUCGGACGUGAAAGCCCAGGGCUCAACCUUGGAAGUGCGUCCGAUACUGCGAAACUGGAGUACUGGAGAGGAGAGCGGAAUUCCCGGUGUAGAGGUGAAAUUCGUAGAUAUCGGGAGGAACACCAGUGGCGAAGGCAGCUCUCUGGACAGAUACUGACGCUGAGGCGCGAAAGCGUGGGAAGCAAACAGG
RNAcentral lists this ribosomal RNA (253 nucleotides) under uncultured bacterium. RNAcentral describes it as "partial 16S ribosomal RNA". It matches the Rfam family "Bacterial small subunit ribosomal RNA", at positions 524 to 776 of the family's 1533-position model. The record is from RNAcentral.